RNAcentral lists this ribosomal RNA (480 nucleotides) under uncultured bacterium. RNAcentral's name for it is "bacterial SSU rRNA". It matches the Rfam family "Bacterial small subunit ribosomal RNA", at positions 28 to 491 of the family's 1533-position model. The record is from RNAcentral.
GACGAACGCUGGCGGCGUGCCUAACACAUGCAAGUCGAGCGAGAAAGUCCCUUCGGGGGCGAGUACAGCGGCGAACGGGUGAGUAACACGUGGGCAACCUGCCCCAAGGAGCGGGACAACCUCGGGAAACCGGGGCUAAUACCGCAUGACCCGCCACGGCUCAAGCCGUGUCGGCAAAAGGUCGCUUCGGCCUCCGCCUUGGGAUGGGCCCGCGGCGCAUUAGCUUGUUGGUGAGGGUAACGGCCCACCAAGGCGACGAUGCGUAGCUGGUCUGAGAGGACGAUCAGCCACACUGGGACUGAGACACGGCCCAGACUCCUACGGGAGGCAGCAGUGGGGAAUCUUGCGCAAUGGGCGAAAGCCUGACGCAGCAACGCCGCGUGAGGGACGACGGCCCUCGGGUUGUAAACCCUCUUUCAGGCGGGGACGAGGCCGACGCGGUUAAUACCCGCGAGCGGUGACGCUACCCGCAGAAGAACG